AUGCACACACACACACACACACACACACACACACACACACACACACACACACACACACACACACACACACAUACCUUAGAAGAUGGCUCAAAGUUUCUCAUAUGGUCAGUGGGUUGCUUCAAAAUUCAUUUUUAUUUUAAACUACGCAGCAAACUUUUUCUUUUCUUUUCUUUUUUUUUUUUUCUUAUUUUCAUUCAGAGAAACACUGAAAAUCUGGAUACAACACAGAACAGAUUUGUGUGUAUUUGUGAACAGGUACAUCUGUGUGUGGGAAUGUCAUUGUUUCCAUUACCAGCUUACCUAAACAUGACAUGACAGUCUCGUCAUUAAAAACCCAUUCCAACAUCACGGGUGACGAUUCUCUCUAUUACCUUUGACCUUUCCCACCGCUGUCACCAGCAUCACUGGGAACAGUUAGCAUCCUGAUGAUAAGAAUUCUCGCACUUAACAUUUUUCUGCAGAAUGACGGGAAAAUCGUAGUAGCUGUCAGUCAUUUCCUAUUCCGUGCUGGACGGCCAGUCUGUUGACCUCUGACCUAAGAAAUCAACCACAGCUGCGAGUUGUUAGAAGGUUAUCCAGUGGUUGCGUGCAGGUUAUCAGCAGGUUUAGUGCAGUGCAGCAGACAGAAGCCACACACACGCACGUAGACACUGAAGUUUGUUUACAUUCACAGUGAUGUUCUGUUUUAAACCUAAUGAGCUGUCUACAUAGGCAGUAUUUUACAGCAUCAUAACAGAAUGAUGAUAUUAUGGUAUUUUGUAGCAAAAGAUGACAUUUUCCAAUGAAAAAUGAUAAAAAAACAUUGCAUAGUGUACUUUUUAAUUAAUUAUGUUGUCUCUUAAGUCACAUUUACCAUUGUUUGGUGAAUCACAAUCUGAAAUUUCACACAAGGGCGAAAGAUUUCAAGUUGGCCAUGUAAAUUUGUCACACUUUCCAACAAAAGCCACAUGGCUUUAAAGUGACUUUUGUUUAGGCUAUGCUUCAUAAAUGAACACAUUACAAAAAAUAGAAAUAAACCUUUUUUCUUGAAAAUUUUACUAAUGGUCGCAUGUAUUCUUUGUGGAGAAGGCAAUCCCACAAUGCAUUUCGAUGAGAUGAGACAAAUCCAAAAUAGUGUAUGAAACCGUUUCAUGGUUUGCUUAAUGUUUUUCUUUUUUUUUUUCUGCGUAUUUGUAUGCUUAUUACAGUAUUGUGCGGUUAGCACAGCAACAUGCUAGUGUCAAUCUCCUUUGAAAUCAAUUAUAAGUUGAGCUUGUUAGCCACACAUUUAUGGCUUAUGUCCAAAUCAAUCACGUACACGUUUCCAUUAUGUUUAGCAUGCUCCCUUAUAAGACAGCUGUCUAUGUAGGUAGCAAGGCAGCUUACUAGGUUUUGGAGCAGAGCUUAAAUUUAAUUCAUAAAGUAAUUUCAUUGUGAUUCAUGCUUUGCAUCUCCCUUAUCUCAAUCUUCAGAGCUUUCAUAAAGCUUUAUCUGUUUCGGCUGUAAUUUUUCUUAUCCUUCUAUUGAGUGCAGUGCUCAUAUGUCUCUCAGAGCGUCUCAUUGAUAUCCCACGAUGCCACAGCUGCUGCAGUCAGUAGGCGCUAGCAGGUAAUCAAACCCUCUUUUGAUAAUGAUAAUAACAAUCGUAGCUCUGUCAUUCUGUUUGUCACGGUAACAAUAGCGACACACAGAGAGGAUCUUAUCUGUGUGAGCUUCCCUUCUAAGCAGAGCAGAACAAAGCGUUUAUCGUACACAUCACACAAAAAAAUGACAACUUUGAAUGAGGAGUUUAUCAGUGAUGUGGAGUGGACUUAUCUACAAACCCACUCAGAUUUUGUCAGGUUUAGAUGGACUUACUAAACAAAUGAAUGAGAAGUAGACUCAAGAAUCAAAAUGUAUCGCUAGCAAUGAAGUACCUGCAUAAAAGGUCACUGAAUCAGAUGAAUCAUUGAAUGAAUCACAUGACUCAUUGAACAAAUCUGAAUUUAUUUAUUUAUUUAUUUUUUUUUUUUGGGGGGGGGGUGAUUCCAAAGAUUUGAGUCUUUCACUGAUAAUAAGUACAUAUACUGCAUAUAAUUUAAUGUUUUUAUCCCUAAUUUAUUUCCUCAUUGUCUGUCGAACCCCUCACAGCAGAAUUAAUGCCUUUUUAGUGCACUAUAAAUGCAUGACAUGGGGUAUUUGAUUUCAAAAUACUACAGGAUGUAACAUUUAUUUUAAAGAAGAAUAACAAAGGUGCACUUUUCGACCAAAACAUCUCAACAAAGGAAUUUUCUUUGUUUAGUUUCUUAGCCCUUCAUCAGUACUGGGGUGCAGGUGGCACCUUCAAAAACAUUUCACCAUAUUUUAAUGCUCUUUAGCUUGAUACAGAUACAUGGAUUGCAUUUACCUGCAUUAUAGGGUUGUUUACAAGCUGCACAAUAAAUAAAGAUCUGCUUUAUCACUGACAAGCCACUAAACACAUUUGUUUUGUUUCCUACAGUGGAUUAUAGGUAAAUAUUUACAUCUAUCACAUUAUUAUUUUUGUGUGAGAAACAACUGCAGAAAAUUCUCUGCCUAAAUUAACUGUCCAAAUAAAUCUGAAUUGUGGCCACUUUCAGACCUUUUUGUAAACCCGUUUGAACCAGUAAAAAAAGCGCCAUAUUCAAAAAUAAAACCAUGCAAAUUCUAAAUUCUAAACAACUGAUAGAAAACACACAACAUGAUUCCUGAAAUAUUAUGUAAAUAAAAUGAUUUUCAGGUUAUGGUAAUUUCCAUUGAUGGACAUGGAUUUAACAGUUACAUUUUAUUAUGUACAGCAAUGUUUCUUGAUGCCCCUGUUAAAAUGGCAAAAAAAAAAAAAAAAAAAACAACAGGUGUUUUCAAUAAGACAAACUAGUACUAAAUACUUUACAUAGUUAAUGGGGUGUAAUGCACUUUACUGGCUAGCACACCUGACCCCAUAUAUAUAUUUAUUCAGAAUGACCUUGGCAUCAGUUAUACAAACUGUUUGAGAGAGAAUAGUAUUCUCACAGUGUUGUGGGAGUGAUUAUGCAUCUGGAGGUGAAUUGAACGGUUGGUGGUCUGUAUUUUUCCCCAACAACUGCUGUUAGUGCAGAGAACAAUCUACCGAUACACACACACACACACACACACACACACACACACACACACACACACACACACACACACACACAUACACUUUCCAAACCAGAUAAACACAAGGGAACUGGAAGAAACUACUGUGCAAUUAGUCUGUCAUUGUUGUGUCAUUUUAAUUCCAGCAGUAAAAUAACAUAGAUUCUUCAUUUAUUUCAUCCUUUCUCCUCUACCUUUGCAGACAUGGCCAAUCGCUCCUUUUCUUUUGUCUCCACAAAUCAUCCCGUGGUUCUAAAGCAGGAUGGGCCUAAAUCACAGGGGACGAGCAGCAGAUAAUGAAGUCAAUCCUCUCUCUCUCUCUGUCUUUCAGUUGGCGGUUUAGUUUCUCUCUGUUAUGCCUGUUUUUGGGUUUUUUUCUUCUUUCCCCCACACACUCGCUCGUUUAAUUCUAUGCAGCACUGUGAUGAAUACUUUUUUUUUUUUUCACAAAUGCACCAAAGACACUCAAGCUCUUUCUUUCUCUCACAUUGUGUUUUCUUUUUAUCUUCAUUUUUUAUUUUGUCUCUUUGCACCUGAAGUUAGCGAUUGACUGUCUAUGGAGAGCACUGGAACUUUUACACACACUACUGUUUAAAAUAUUUUAGAUAAUAGAAAUGGAAAUAGGAUACAGCCAUAGAUUUCAUUUCUGAAACUAAACAUUGUGGUUUCAGGAACAGUGACCUGUUCCUCCUCCUCUUCCAGUUCUCUGUCUUGUGUAACUAAUUGUGAGCAUUUGUUUGUGACACAGCUGUGAAACUUCAAGAAACUCCUCAUUUUUCUCUCUCAUAUUACACACGCACGCACGCAUACACACACACCCAAACACACCUUGAUAGACUGCCAUGACCUGAACUUAUUCAGCUAAAGUCACAGACAUUUAUGGUUAUGAUCUGAUCUCAUCUGAAAUGUUGAAUGUGUUACUCAGUCAAGGAUGUACAUUGUAGAUCAUCAAAUGUAAUUGUGUACUGGAUGUGAACUGGUGCUUAUAUCUGGCAGGUCUAAUGUAGCUUUAACAUUCCGAUAAUUGAACAGCUUUUCCUGUUGUGAGAGCACAAUGCUUGGUUAUUGUAACAUUUAGUGCUUUAUGCAUUUGUUUGUUCUACUUUAUUAGUUUCUACCUUGGAAUGCUGUUUAGUUUUCAUUUUCACAGCUGUCUUUCAGUUUAACAGGAUGAAUAAUGAGACUUCAACUGUGGGGGUUUUUCUGGAAAAUUAGCAAAAUGUUCUUUUUAUUUUAAUAAAUCCCAGGUAGCAUCAAAUUACAAGGCACAGUUCCCAUGAAGCCAUUUCUCACUGUAUGUGUAAACAGUUUAUUUUUACUUUUUGACAAUAUAUUUUCUAAAAUAAACCCAUAAUGACAUGUUACAUUAACUGAGCUAUGAUAGAUCAAUAAUGACUAAUCCAGAUUACCAUCAAACAUAUGACCAUUUUGACAUUGUCUGCCAAUUAACAAAAGUGGUCAUUCUUCUACGUCUAUGAAUUUUGAGUAAAUAUUGUGUAUUAAGUAUUAUUAUUA
Long non-coding RNA from Cyprinus carpio carpio, 4608 nucleotides. The record is from Ensembl. NCBI's taxonomy places the organism in Eukaryota, Metazoa, Chordata, Actinopteri, Cypriniformes, Cyprinidae.